AACGUUGGUGGUGGCUCCUAUCACAAUAGGGUGGGUGGCCUGGUUGGCACAUGAGAGGCAGCCAUUGGGCAGCCAUCAGGCAGCUGUACAGCAGCCACAUAUGGAGAGGGGAAAAUGACCAGACCAUGAUGUUCAGCAAAGUUCGAGCAAUAAUUGUGUGACAGAGUACUGUGGCGGGAAGCUGGAGGAGAUCUUUGGAUUUGGCCCUUUGACUCCACUGGAAGUUUAAUCAUGCUGGACAUUCUAGAUCACCAACAAGUGAAGCAGCUCUUUCAGCCCUGCAUUUUGAUGACAUGGAACAGAGGAUACCUGUGAGUGAAUUUUUAAAAUGAGAAAUAGGGAAGACCCCGUGGGACUCAGCCAUUUCUGUAACUGUAUUCUUUUUGAAGCACCUUUCUCCAGAAUAAAAUGUUCGUUGCUUUGAACUUUAAAAUAAUAACUUGAGUAGUUUUAAUGGAAAAAAGACUGCUUGCUAAUUUGAGAUCACACGCAAUAUUAAAUAUUGGAUAGUUU
This is a long non-coding RNA of Phasianus colchicus (ring-necked pheasant), 513 nucleotides long. RefSeq lists it as uncharacterized. Lineage: Eukaryota; Metazoa; Chordata; Aves; Galliformes; Phasianidae. The record is from RefSeq and is a predicted model, not a curated record.